UUCUGUACUCUUCUUCCAAGUUCCAAUAUUGCAUUUGAAUGAGAAAGCAUCCUAAAAUCCUAAUGUCUUUCUUACGUGUUCAUGACCUGGAUCCUUUUGUCUUCUUAUCCAUAAAUCUUUCUAUAAUUUCUUGUCGUUGUUGGAGGUCCCAGGUACAGGUAGUAUGUAUAUUGCAUAGUAGUAGAACAUGUUAAGAACAUACAAAAAACUCCCCUCUAAAUUUCUACUGCUGAGAAGAAGAAAAGAAGAGCUUCUGUUCUUGUUGGGUAAUUUUUCUUUCUUAAUUUUCUACUCUGAUUUUAAUGAUAUUGAAGAUUUUGAUUGAUUUAACGAUUUGGGUUUCUUGCGUUAUUUUGAUAUUUCCUGAAUUUCUUCACUUUUUCUGAUCUUCUAUGCUUUGAUCACCCUCUUUGAAAAUUAGGGUUUGUGCACAUCACUUUGAUUUGGGGGGGGAGUUAAUAUACUGUGGUAAGAACAGAAGAAGAUCUAGCUAGCAUGGCAGUAGAACAAAAUAAAUCCAAAAAGUCAAAAUAUCAGAUUAUUUAUCCCCGAUCACCCUCAAUUCUCAAUUAUGAUAUAGGCUUUACUUAGAUAUCAUUAUUUCUGUAACAUAACAUGUCUGUUCUUGUUGGUAGAGAGAGAGCAUCAGAAACAUGUUUCUCCAUUGCAAAACAAACCAAAAUAACCCACUACAAACACCAUUGCAAAUGAAGAAGCUCAACAACACUCAGGAGGAAGAGGAGUACUACUGCCCAAUUUUACCUGGAUUACCAGAUGAUUUGGCCAAAUACUGCCUAGCACUUGUUCCAAGAACAUGUAUGUCUUCCAUGAGCAAUGUCUGCAAACAAUGGAGGUCAUUUAUUCAAAAUAAGGAGUUUAUUGUUCUAAGAAAGGAAGCUAGGAAAGUUGAGGAGUGGGUGUAUUUUCUAACUGUUGAUGAACAAGGCAAGAGAACUCAAUGGGAGGUAUCGAGCUUCUCUGGCAAAGAACCAAACCAUCGACUCCUUCCUCCAAUGCCGGGUCCGGUGAAGUUUGGUUUUGGCAUUGCCGUCUUUGAUGGUAAGCUUUUGGUGAUUGCUGGCUAUGCCAUGGAUGAAUCCAAACAAGAGCAAGUUUCUUCUGAUGUUUAUCAGUAUGAUUCUCGUCUUGAUAGGUGGAGCAUGUUGGCGAAUUUGAAUGUUGGUCGGCGGGAAUUUGCUUGUGCAGAAGUUGGUGGGCUUGUUUAUGUAGCAGGGGGUUAUGGACUCCAUGGUGAGAGCAUAUCAAGUGUGGAAGUGUACAGCCCAGAAAACAAAGCAUGGGUAUUGAUACAAAACCUUCCUCGUUCAAGAUGGAGUUGCUUUGGAUGUGGUGUUGGCGAAAAGCUCUAUGUAAUGGGCGGUCGAUCACGCUUCACAAUUGGAAGUUCCAGGUAUGUAGACAUUUACGAUCCAAAGAACAAGACAUGGUGCCAGAAUAAGAAUGGUUGUGUCAUGGUCACUGCAUAUGCCGUGCUUGGUGAUAAACUUUUCUGUAUGGAAUGGAAGGAUCAAAGGAAGAUUGCGGUGUUUGAUUUCUCGAAUAAUUCGUGGAAGAAGGUGUCAAUCCCAGUAAUGGGAAAUUCAUGUGUUAAGCUCUGCUUUGGAACAUUCAAUGGAAAACUGCUUCUUUUUUCGUCAAAUAUGGAGCGUGAAUACGAAACGCUCGUAUAUGAUCCUAAAGCUCCAACUGGGUUGGAAUGGAAAUCUUCAGCGUCUUUCAAACCACCACCAAGAUCAUGUUUGAGGAGUGUGACAAUUCAUGUCUGAAGUUGUGGUUGCUUUGAAUGUGAAUAACUAAGUUUCCCUUAAAUUCUGAAAAUGUUAUUUUAAAAAAAAUCAACAUGACAUUGUGAAAUGUAUAGUUGAUGAACAAAAUUUUAAUGCCCUUCAGCUAAUAAUCCUACCUCAGUGUCUUGGAAUAAAUAUAUGCAAAAAAAGUUAAAAGAUGCCCUGAAAUAAAGAUUAUAUAUAAUUUUGGCUUAUAAACAAUACAAUGAUUACAUAUUCAAUAUAUUCAUUUAUAAUUCACAAUUAUCUAAAUUACAAGUUUAAAAUCUAAUAAAAAACUUUUGAUCUUCUGACCAAUUGUGCUGUGAUUUUAUCAUCAGAUAUGUCCUGAAAUGAAAAUAUCCUUUUGUUCUAAUUUUAUUUUGGGUGCAGGAAAGAUCAUUUUCUCUCCAGUUACAUGAUUUUCACAGAUUUGGAUAAGAUUCAGACAUGAUCAAAACAACAAGCGAAGUCCAACCAGUAAAAGGAUGGCAUCUUUGACCCUUCCCUUCAUUUUCCUGAUCAUAUUGUUCCCACAAAAAGCCAGUUUCAUGGUAGUUGCGGACGAUAUUUCUGCCAAAGAAAUGGUCAGUCAAGGUCAGUACUUCACCAGUAAGGAAGAAAUAGCCAUUUUAACAAAACCAAAAUUUAUCAAGAAAAAAUGCCAACCUUAUAACAUUAUUUCUAAGCUCUACAUAUAUAGUCCUUGCCCGGUCUCUGUAUGGCCCUUUUUCUGUAAAUAUCUCUUUGAUUAUUCAAAUCGAUUUCAAAUAAAUAAUACAAGUUUUUCUAAAUUACUAUACUUACUUUGAGAAUAGUGAUGGAGUGCCGAAAGCGUCAUAUAGUUCAUGUUAAUCCAAAUGGGGCCUCUCCAAUAUGGUGGAUCGUGCUCAGUAUUGCGUUUCAUAUAUAGAGUACUUAGCAAAUACAAGUAAAUGAAAAUGAGAUCACUUAAAUAGCCUAAAGGAAUUUAUAGACAAGUCAAUUUUUUUUCUAUCUAUACUUUUUUUAAAUAUUGCACACGAAGAUUUAAUUGAAAAAAUCUAUAGCCAGUUACCUUGUUUUGGCAAGAGAACGAAUCCCAUGUUCCGUCCACAAGGCUGAAGGGUCAGAAAUCAACUCCAAUUGUUUCUCAAGAAUCCAAGAUUCCUGAAAUUACAAGCAUGGCCAACUCCUAAAAAACAUUUCUUGAUUUCUUCAACCAAAUUAGAGUUUUGGCUUUAUCAAGUAUGUAAACUUACAGAUGGAAUUGUCCCCAUCAUGAAUGGGAAAAGACUGAGAUAACCAACAUGAGGAACUAACGAUGGUUGAGGGCUUUUCAACACCUUUCGAAGAAGUUCACGCUUCAUAAAGUUUCCCUCUUUCACUUCAAACCAUUUAAGGCGUACCUAUAUUUUUUCAAUUAGGAACCAAAAUUAUCACAUUUCAGGAAAACUAUUCUGGUGUAGGUUUCACAAAAAAAAUUAUAUAAGAAAUAAAAUACUGAAAAUUGUAACCUGAAAUAUACAUUUAUAUUAUUUAAUUUUCUCUCUAAUAAAAUCCUCUACAUAAGAAAUAAGAAUAACAUUCUUACUUUCUCAGUGUGGUUUCCAAAAUCAAAAUAUGCUCCAGAUUUGACAUCUAAGUGCAUCUGCAAUUAAAAAAAAAUAACAUUUAGAGGAAAAAGAAGGUUCAAAACCUCUACUUAAAUUUAAAGACAUGAAAUGGACUCCAACUAAAACUAAAACUCAUAGAUUGAAAGUAUAACAUAGAUUGACCAACUAAAACUCAUGAAAGUGAACAAAUGGUAAUUUGAGUAUCUGACCUAAUGAUAGCACAAGAAAUUAAACAGUUAAUUACUUAACAUACAACGUUCAAAAUCAUUUAACAAGACCAUUUAAAAAACUAGACAAAACAUUAUGAAAUGGUUAAGAAUUAGAAAUGCAUUUACAACGUAAAUAAACAAUGCUAAAUAACAAGAAAUCUUGUGAAUGUUAACACCUGAUAGGCUGAAGAGUGAUAGACAACAAUCUCUAUUCGCUAACAUACUUAAAAGAAGAAAAGGAAUCUACGUAGUAAAAUUACCUCGUUGAGGUUCUCAAAAUUAGAAAGAUAUUCAACCAUCCUAUCGUAACCCUGCUUGUACCACACAAAGACAGAUAUAAUCAUAUGAUAAAAGAAAGAACAUCCAUUGCAAAAAAGAAACUCUUAAAUACUUUUUCUAAAGAAUCUUUAUUUCCAAAAACUUUUGCAAUUGACUGCAAGCAAUCUGCUGCGAGAAGCAUCCAACAUCUAAGGUCCAAAUGGCGCUCGAUUUCACUUGGGUGAGAUGCUCGUGGAUAAUCAUCCAACCCUGACAUCAAUGUCUGUAUAGAAAUUUUAAAUCAGAGAGGAUACACACAUCAAAAUCCAGUUAACAAAACCGUGCUAUCUCAUAUUUUAAGAUACUUGUCAAUGCAAAUGAAUGAGAAAAGAAAAACAUGAAAAUAAUUACAAUUGCAGUAAGUUUUGAAGAUUAAAAUAAUAAUUAUUAUUAUUGAUAAGGUGUGAAGAGUUUUUUUUUUAAUUUAUUAUGCGAGUUGGUAUCCAUCAUUGUUGGAAAAUUAGCAUAAACAAAAUAACGGGGAAGGAAUAUCAAAUAGCAUUGUAGAUGACUAGAUGAUAUACAACCCCUCUGGGCCUCUAAUGAUUUCAAAAUGGUUGAGGAUAAAUUUGUGAUUUAUCUCUCAUGGAUAGUGAAAAGACGACUGAGAGUAUGGCAUGCAAUAGUUGGUUAAAAUUUUGUCUCCAAUUCUCUAAACAGUAAAUAAAUCUCCUAUACAUUCGAUUGAGGAAUAACAAACAUUGGAGGAAUAAUACACAAAAUAGAUUUAGGUAAAUCUAAAUGGGCAUAGGAUUGAAGGUAGAAAAAUGACUUUCCACAUAAAUUUACGAUUUUCAGAACAUAAAGCUAUUAGCUAUAUAUGAUAUAUCGAUUAAAGUUGCAUUGAAAUAAUUCAAAGUGGCAUAAAAAAUGGAGUAUAUUGAAAGAGAAAGAAAACCUUUGGAUUGAGCUCCCGCAUUGUGAUAUUAUCUCUCCCAUGCCAAUAAUAGGUAUACAUUUCUUUCCCUAAAACACAUACAGAAAAUCUAUUUCAAACAAAAUCCAAAAACCAAAAACCUAUGAAUAUAUUGAAAUAUUGAUAUCUAUAGAGAAAAUUUAGGUGUAGUCUGACACUCUGACUACAAUACUACGUCAUGCAACUGUCAAUGCAAACAUAUUCCACCUAUUGGAGGUGCAAAUAUUUCAUUUGUGCCUAACAAGAAUAUGUGAACAUUAAACAAUAACAUCACACAUUGACUUUGUUCUAAAUAUAUACACAAAAAUUAGAUCUGCACUUUUGAUUACCUUGCAAUAAAUUCCAUUUUACAAAUUUAUAGUAUGCAAAAAAUUAGAAAAAAUACGGCAUGCUCAAAUUAAAUCAGUGAAUACUAUUUUGGAUACCUGAUUGAGUGGUAUUGAACCAUUGAAACCACGCUUCAAGGCGAACAAGCGCUCUUUCUAAGAAAGUUAAUAUCUUAAUUCUUUCACUAUCAGAGUACAUGUUUCUUUGCAUUCCAUUUAUUAUAUCUAAGAACCAACAAACAACAUAAUAUUAAAAUUGUCAUUGAUAAGUCGAUAAAUAUUUUUUUACUAGAAAAGAACAUUGGUGGAGCAAAAGUAAUUCAGGAAACUUAAUAGUUAAUAGUGUCCUUGGACUCUGAGUCCUGCGAAAAGAACUUUUUGCAUAUAAUAUUUUUGUAAACUGGGCAAUAGCCUUAUUUUCUAAUGAAAUUUAAUUGCUUCAAAAAAAAAAAAAGAUGAUGACGAAGAUAAAAACAUAAAAAGAAUGGACUUUUAGAGAAAAUUAUUUACCCAAAGUCAUCACUGUAAGGAAUUUUUUAAAAACUGCAUUCAUAUAUUAUAUAACCAGUUUUUAAAAAAAAUUGUGGAACUAUAUACCAAAAUAACAUUUUAAUAUAAAAAUGUGAACACCAUAUAUAGUUAUCUAAUAUUUAUCAGAGACAUGGAUGCAGAUUUGAUAAUCUAAAAGGACAAUUCUUUCCAAUAAUAAUAAUAAAAUAUUGUCACUGGCUUUUCCAAAAAAAUCCAUCGUUUUGGCUUCCUGAAAAUCAGAUUUACACACAAAACUACAUUUCCAAAAGCUAAACUUACAAAUUGGUCCAUCUGUUUAACCAUUUUGAAAAGUUAAGUUUCCUGGGUUUUUUGUAAAAACCUAAUCAAGUUUCAUAUACAAAUUCAGAUAUUAGCAGAUAUAUAUUCUGUUGUACUUGGAUCAGUUGUAUGCCAGAUAUUAGUUAUACCUCAUUCCACCAACCUUUGUAAUUAUAAACAAACCAAUAGAAUUAUCAACAAAGUCAUUUAAAAAAUUCAAGAAUUCAAGUUCUUAUCCUUUAUAAUUAUAAGUUCUAAAGUUCCUAAAUUUAUGCUUAAACUUUCAAGGAAGCCUUCAUUUUUUUUUGCAACAAUUAAAUGAAGAGUAGUACCCUGAAAUUUCAAGUGGAAAAGAAAUAGAAUGUGGUAAGGUUGACAAAGUGGUUUCCUACACUAUCGACCUUCUCCUAUAUAGCUUGUGCUUUUAGUGAUCAAGUAACUAAAAACUAAGCCUCAGGAGGUUUGUCUCCCAAACCUGCAUAAUAGUCUUCACUCCUCAGGAUGCAUUCACUUUACACCUUCCGAGAAGAGCUUUAUCUUACACUAAUUUCAUCAAACAUUCAAAUCUUAUUUGAUCAUUUUGAUGUGUAAUAAAAGAAUAAGAAAACCAAACAUAAACUAAUGAAGUUUAAACCUAGAGUAUUGUGAAGAUGGGAGCUCACCCCGAAAAACAAGAAAAAGUGUCGGUGGAUUUCCAUUUGAUGGAUGCUGAGGAAUGAAUUCUUCUGGGACUUUGCUGCAUAUUUUGAAAAAGGAAUUUGCAAGCAGUUAAUGUUAUUGAAGUAUAAGACCAUACCAAGGAACAAAUUGUUAAUAUACUUUCUAUGAUACAAAUCGAAAAUGUCCUACCUUAAAGCUUCAGCUCCCAAGAUCUGUUCACGUGGAAUCCAUCCAUCAACAUUGAUUAAAUCUAACCAAUGCCCAAUAAUAUCCAAACAGAUAUCAAUGUCCCAUCGCCUGCCAAAAAAAAUCCAUGUCAUAAAAACAAUAGAUAAAAUUUAUAAGAACCUCGUAUUAUGAGAAUCUAAAAAUCCCAUAAAAUCUAAAAAUCGAACAAUAGUAUUAUGAUUCUAUGAAAAUCUGAUUCGGAAGAAAACCAACCAAACAAGUAGCUGAUGGAAACCUUCAUCCCACAAAAAACCCCUAGGAAAGAAAGACCGGCUAGGCACAGCAGUAUAAAGUGAAGCAGGCCAGUAUGGAAUAAAUGUUUUCCCAUCUUUAAGCUGCAGAAAGUAACACAUCUCCUCUAAGAUUCAUCAUUUAUGAGAAGAAUACAUAAAUAUUUACAUGUUCUUUUUUUGUCUUUCGUCAUACAAUAGAAAUUUAAUUUUGAAGCAAUAUAGAAAAACAGCUAACGAUGUAAGUAAUUUCAUAUUAACUAAAUUUUUUAUGUUAGUCUUACAAACAAAUAGACAAUAGUUAAAUGCACUUGUAACACUUCAAAGCAUAAAGCUAAUAAAAAUGAAAGGGCAUAUCCCUGAUUACAAAUAUAUAGGGAAUGAGUGUAAAUUCAUUGUCCAUUUCUAUACAGCUCAUUCUAACAGUAUUUAAAUUUUAAAUAACUAUAGACUCAGAUUGCUAGACUCCCAAGAUUUUUAUCCAUUCUUUUCAAUCAUAGUUUCAUUAUGUUUUUGAAGAAUGAAGCAUUGACGAAAAUGCUAACAUCUUUGAUGAGUUAUGAGCUCAUUGCUUGUUUGCUCUCAUUGAAGAUGUGUUACUUGAGCCUCCUAUUCCUCUCACAACAUAUGUGCCAUGAGAAGGAGGCCAAUGCACGAUGCACCGGCACUGAACAUACAAGAUUAAUAUGAAUACUAAAAUACUUAGAAAUAGACAAAUAUAGCCAGAGGAAAGCUUGCCGGAGAUGGCGAUCGAAAAUCUUGAUAGGAUAAUUCACCAAUUAUCCACUUCCAGAUUCAGAUCAGGAAAUAUUCUCCCUCACGAGUUAAAGGUAGCACUCACACUCGACAGUAAUUAUGUUCCAAUGAUAUUAGAUCUAAUCUGAAUAUCUGAGCAAUCAAAAUAAGAAAACAAUUAAGAUCAGAGAAUAAGAACACGCAAUAUUUUAUAGUGGUUCCACCCAAGAAUGGUGCACUUCCACUUGGUGAUUUCUAUUGAUGGUAGAAAUUGAGAUUAGGUUUUCAGCACUAUAAUAAUAGUAUAUAUAGUGUAGUAUUAACUUGGGCCCAUUCCAAGUUAAUGACUCAUAAUUGGCCCAAUAAGUAGGGUACCAAUUAAAUAGUCUCCAAUACCACUUAUAACUCCCAUUGAUUGCAUAAACCUUAACAAAGCUCUCCGGAGGGAGAUGGAUUUUGAAUGUUGGGGGGGAGAAAUAGGGAAGGAAAUAACCAACUUGCGAUUCAGAUCUGUUUGAAUCGCGAGUGCAGCCUAAUUCCGAGUAGAUAUGCAUCGCCCUGGCUGGGGCACUGGCGCCUAAGAACAUAUAGGCACAUGUACUAGGAUCCUUGAUGCAGAUAUAUAUGUGUCAUGGAUCUGGUGAGAAGGUCAGAUCUGUAUAAACUAAUUGCAAACCGUACUAAUUCGUUUACACUGAAACUACAACCUUCCCAUGUAAGAAACAUCCACACCUGAUCCUUCACAUGUAAUCGGCAUACACAACUUUUUGGUAUCUUUUCCUAUUCCUCUCAACCGUCAUCGGCGACUUCGAGCAAUCUCAUAUGACUUCAAAAAAGAUCCAACAGGCUAUUGAAGACCUUUCGAAGGCCAAUGAGACCCCCAGACGCCAGACAUAACUUUUAGAGUAUUGAUAAGCCUUUCAGAUUGUUCCCUUGGUGCUAAUAGAAUUUUUUUAACCUUGUCAAUAACCUUCGUUGGAAGGUGAAACAUUACAGACCUUUAACUGAAAAUACCUUAAUUGUACGUGAAUAGUCAUUUUGUUAAAAUCUAAUCUCCCUAAAUUGUAAAUAACAUAAUCAAUGAAUGUUUAGGAGGGAUCGAUCACUUGAUCUCCCCCAUCUCCCAUAAACUUCCCCAUUGUUCUCACUAAUACAUUUUGAAUGAGCAAAUUACUACUUACUAUAAAGAAUAUUUAGAUCACCCCAAUGAAUUUAGUAAACCAAAUUACAAAAAAUAAAUCUUAAUGUCACCCAUAGAUAAAAAUGAUUUAAAAAGUUACAUAAAUACAAUUAUACAAAUCAUGAUUCAAAAGCUAAUAUUAACUUACAUUCAAACCUUUAGGAAGUGCAAUUUUCGACUCUCCAUAGAAAAAUCCAAUACCACCCAUAAGAUUUCCCAGCGCUGCUUUACCAACAACCAUAGAAUCUGGAUCAACCUGUGAAAAAAAUGAACUUUCUUUCUUAAUACAAGCCAACUUCUAUAACAGAAACAAACUAGAAAAAAAUAUGUUAUCACAAGGACAGCAUCUCCCUAUCACAUUCGACAUUCAUAAUUAAUAAAUGAUGAUUUUUAUUGAAGGAUGGAGGGUUUGGUGGACUAAUUCUAGAAAAGGAUCUGGUACGAAACCAUGAUUUCAUUAGAGGGAGUAUCUCUGUAUAAAAUACUAUAUCAGUACAUCUUCACCACCAAAGUGAAGCACUACUGACUAUAAAAGUAAAGUAAAAAUCUCUAAAUACAAUUACAUUCUAAUUAUCUAAAUGCUUAGUGUAAUCACAAUUUUGUUUCUUCAUAAAAGAACUACAUGUAUCAUGAUUCGUGACAUUAAUCAUGUAUUUUAAAAUAAUUGAAAGUUAAAUAUUUUUAUACAGAUUGUGGAAGGCAAUGCUGGUGGAUUUGGAAUUGAAUCCAACAGUAGAACUCAGGGGAAUUAGAUUAGAAAAUAUUCAGAUCUCAAAUAGAUUUCCAGCAAAUUAAUCUAGAUUGGAAUCCACUAAUCUAUACUAUGAAGGUGGGGGGCAGGGACACCCCAUACUCUGAGUGUGGUAAAGGAUGGGAGGUAGCUCCACCUCAGUCUCCAUAGGAAAACAGAGAAUUUGGUAGAUUUCUUGGACCAAAUGCCUUUAGCCAAGGAGUCAGGCUGUCGGAGAGGUUAGGUAGAAAAGUAGGGAAAAGAAAAGGUAGAAGAUAGUGAAUUACCUUUGAAAAUGGAAUAAAAUUGUAAUCAACUUCUCCACCCAGGUCCACUCAUAUUUAUACUCUCAUUGUGUGAGAGUGAAAAUCCACAAUGAAAGUCACAGCCUAAUUAGAAGGCUAGGGCCAUGGCUCGAGCUAACUCGAGCCAAGGAUCAGCUAUAGCAUUGUAGCGACCUACAUCAAAAACAUAGCACAUAAUGCCCAGAACUAAUUUCAAAUUGAAAACUAAAGAAAUACUAAUGGACCCAGAAGUCGAAAAUGCAAUCGCUGAAUAUAUAAAUGAUGAAAUUAUUGGAAUCAUAGAAUAAAGAUAAUAUAUGAUGACGAAAUUCUGAAAAUGUGAUGAGUUUAUAUGCAAUUGAAGAUGACAAUUACACAUAAUACAUGUAUCUUAUUAGUUAUAAAGAUUUCAUUUAACAAACCUUAUCUACGAGAUUGAACCGUUGAAUGUACUCUGCUUCGUAUUUUUUCCCUUUCUCCCUCAACUGGCUGCUCAGAAAAGUUCCUGAAUCCACAUUGGCACAUGUUAGAGAUUAACACGGAUUCUAUUCUUUUUAUAAUUGAACCAUGGGAUAUAACAUAUAACAGAUAUGUUUAUCAUAGUUAAUUGGUGAACCAAAAAAAGGUGGUGCAAAAAACACUAUGAUCGAAGUAAAUAGAAAAAUCCAUAGAAAAUCCAGUUGUUUUCUCUGAGUAACAAUGUAACAUCCAAAUCAUCUAUAAUUCAUAACGAGUUUAACCAUCCAAACCUGAUAGAUUAUCAAUACGGUGAUCAACAUUUGACUUGUCCACCCCAGAUAAAAAGGUUAUAUCAAAUUUAGUAGGGAGCUUCCCAGAUACCUUUGGGUCAAUGAAAAAAAAAUAAAACCCAUAAAUUGCAGUAUUACACAAAAUAAAAUGAUGCCUUGAAAUGAAUAAGUUUGAAGAAACAAAAAGAAGAGAAAUAAUCACGAGAAUAAAAUAUUGGAAAUAAUAUAUUUCUAAAUACUAGGAAGAAAUACAUCGCAGAGUUAGUUACAAAAAUUAUGAAUUAAAACUUGUGAGAUAAGCAAAUAUAUAGUCAAGACUGUCAAGUUACACAGACACCCCAUUCUUUAUUGAAGAUUUGAAGAUAUUUGAUUUGUGCAUUCUAACAUUUCUAAGAAUAUAAAAUGUUAUUUAAUUUUUUUUUAGAUGUUCCCCUUGUUAAUAUUCGUUAAUUUAUAUUUUCAAAUUAAAAGAAAAAAUCUCUGGGAAUACCUGAAAAAAUAAUGCAUUUGAGUUGUAUUCAAUUGUGUCAGGUAGCUGCAAAAGCCCAGUUUGUCUUGCCUGUGUACCAUCCAGUAAUAGCAAUGACGAAACAUCAGAUGGAAC
RNAcentral lists this long non-coding RNA (11361 nucleotides) under Zostera marina. RNAcentral describes it as "long non-coding RNA (ZMAR_LNC005494)". Lineage: Eukaryota; Viridiplantae; Streptophyta; Magnoliopsida; Alismatales; Zosteraceae. The record is from RNAcentral.